GUCUGUCACUUAUAGAUGGAUCCUGCGCCGUAUUAGCUAGUUGGUAAGGUAACGGCUUACCAAGGCAACGAUACGUAGCCGACCUGAGAGGGUGAUCGGCCACACUGGAACUGAGACACGGUCCAGACUCCUACGGGAGGCAGCAGUAGGGAAUCUUCCGCAAUGGGCGAAAGCCUGACGGAGCAACGCCGCGUGAGUGAUGAAGGUCUUCGGA
Molecule: ribosomal RNA, 214 nt
Filed under: Staphylococcus sp.
Lineage: Bacteria; Bacillati; Bacillota; Bacilli; Caryophanales; Staphylococcaceae
Description: partial 16S ribosomal RNA
Rfam family: Bacterial small subunit ribosomal RNA
Source: RNAcentral